Scleropages formosus (Asian bonytongue) is the source of this 1637-nucleotide long non-coding RNA. The record is from Ensembl. NCBI's taxonomy places the organism in Eukaryota, Metazoa, Chordata, Actinopteri, Osteoglossiformes, Osteoglossidae.
GCGACGAAUCCACUUCGAGUUCGUCAUCAUCCCCGGGAGUUUCAAACGCAACUGUAAAUGAAUGCACGUAAGAUUUUAAAGAUUUUAAAUUAAUCUAUGAAGAGCUAUGCUUGUGAUGCAAAGUGUAAAGAGACGUGUUGUAGUUAGUUAUGCAAUUAUUACGUUUAUUGAUGUGACAAUGUUGAAUUUUCCAAAUGUUUUAUUUUGAGGAGCCGGCAGGUCGUGAAUCCGAUUCUUGACGCACGCACGCACGCACGCACGCACGCACGCACGCACGCACGCACGCACGCACGCACGCACGCACACGCACGCACGCACGCACGCACGCACGCACGCACGCACGCACGCACACACACGCACACGCACACGCACGCACGCACACACACACACACACACACACGGUGGCUGAAACUGCUUGUCCCAAGCAGGGGCGCGACGAACCGGAGCCUAACCCGGCAACACAGACAACAGGGUGCAAGGCUGGCAGCCAAUCCAUCGCAAGGCACCCUACUUGAACCCUCAGACCUACCAGAGAGCAGGACCAAAGCAUUGUACACAUAAGGACAAAUUGUAUUUAUAGUGGAAUUUGUUUUCUCGUUCAGGGCACUUUUUAACAAAGAAAAGAGAGAUGAAGAAGUCAUUGUACAAAAUAUCGCUGUGGAUUCCAUCGGUAAACGUGUUUCUCCACAUAAUAGUGUACCUGUUUGUGCGGAGUCAUGGACAGGUGUUGGGAGUUUCUGAUUCCACCAGUUACAUGAAAGUGGGAGAGAGUGUCCAGUUCCCCUUUACACCAAUAGAAAACCACAACUACAAAGUCGAAUUGGUAUUCAAUUUCUCAGUUGUUGUGGUGUUGUGGCUGCCGAAGAUCUCAUUCCUGCAGACGCACGUUCAUUAUAAAGAAAGAGUGAACAUCCAGGACAAUAUAAUAUCUCUGGAAAGAUUGCAGCUGUCAGACUCAGGUUUUUAUGACCUGAACAUGGGUUAUUUUACAGGACCUCAAGCACAAAAAAAAAGGCUGAAUCUCCAGGUUUUAGGUGAGUGUGCACAAUUCAGAACUCCAUAUUAUUUCUGAAUCUUGGCCUACCUUGACAUACACAUUCACACACAAUGACCCGUUGCAGAGCCUUCUGGUAUUCUCUUGUGCAGCUGGCGUACCAUGCUGUAAUGCAGUACGUCAGUACACUCUCCACCGUACAUCGAUAGAAAUUCACGAGAAGAUCCUGGGGCAGUCUCGCUCUCCUCAGUCUUCUCAAGAAAUAGACGCGUUGUUGAGCCUUUCCGAUGACAGUAGAGGUAUGUGUGGCCCAAGAGAAGUCCACUGUAAUGUUCACCCCCAAGAAUCUGAAACAGGGGACUCUUUCCACAACCUCGCCAUUUAUAAGCACAGGACUAAGGUUAGUUCUCCUUUUCUUCCUGAAGUCCAGCACAGUCUCUUUUGUCUUCCUGGUGUUAAGAAUGAGAUUGUUGGCAGAGCACCAUGCUGUCAGGUUUCAUACCUCAUCCCUGUAUGCAGUCUUGUCAUUGUUUGUAAUCAAACCAAUGACUCUCAUAUCAUCUGUGAACUUCACAAAAACUGGCAAAUUAGUGGAUUUAAGGUAAUCCUUAAAUUGUUCAGUUAUAUAAUAAGCAUACAGCAU